AUACGGAGGGUGCAAGCGUUAUCGGGAAUCAUUGGGUUUAAAGGGUCCGUAGGCGGACUAUUAAGUCAGAGGUGAAAUCCCACAGCUCAACUGUGGAGCUGCCUUUGAUACUGGUAGUCUUGAGUUAUAUGGAAGUAGAUAGAAUGUGUAGUGUAGCGGUGAAAUGCAUAGAUAUUACACAGAAUACCGAUUGCGAAGGCAGUCUACUACGUAUAUACUGACGCUAAGGGACGAAAGCGUGGGGAGCGAACAGGAUUAGAAACCCGUGUAGUCC
This 274-nucleotide ribosomal RNA is filed under the name uncultured bacterium. RNAcentral describes it as "partial 16S ribosomal RNA". It matches the Rfam family "Bacterial small subunit ribosomal RNA", at positions 523 to 796 of the family's 1533-position model. The record is from RNAcentral.